GACGAACGCUGGCGGCGUGCCUAAUACAUGCAAGUCGAGCGGACUAGCGUUUUCUUCGGAAAACGCAGGUUAGCGGCGGACGGGUGAGUAACACGUGGGUAACCUGCCUAUAAGACUGGGAUAACAUUCGGAAACGAAUGCUAAUACCGGAUACGCAAUUUGAUCGCAUGAUUGAAUUGGGAAAGAUGGAGCAAUCUAUCACUUAUAGAUGGACCCGCGGCGCAUUAGCUAGUUGGUGAGGUAACGGCUCACCAAGGCGACGAUGCGUAGCCGACCUGAGAGGGUGAUCGGCCACACUGGGACUGAGACACGGCCCAGACUCCUACGGGAGGCAGCAGUAGGGAAUCUUCCGCAAUGGACGAAAGUCUGACGGAGCAACGCCGCGUGAGUGAUGAAGGUUUUCGGAUCGUAAAGCUCUGUUGCCAGGGAAGAACACUUAGGAGAGUAACUGCUCUUAAGCUGACGGUACCUGAGAAGAAAGCCCCGGCUAACUACGUGCCAGCCGCCGCCGUAAAAC
This 517-nucleotide ribosomal RNA is filed under the name uncultured bacterium. RNAcentral describes it as "bacterial SSU rRNA". It matches the Rfam family "Bacterial small subunit ribosomal RNA", at positions 28 to 526 of the family's 1533-position model. The record is from RNAcentral.